ACGAAAGUCUGAUGGAGCAAUACCACGUGAACGAUGAAGGUCUUCUGAUUGUAAAGUUCUUUUAUUUAGGAAAAAAAGCGCGCUAGGAAAUGAGCGCGCCUUGAUGGUACUAAUUGAAUAAGUGACAGCUAACUAUGUGCCAGCAGCUGCGGUAAAACAUAGGUCACGAGCAUUAUCCGGAUUUAUUGGGCGUAAAGGAAGCGUAGGCGGGGAGGUUGAUCCAUUGUUAAAAGCAUUUGCU
This 241-nucleotide ribosomal RNA is filed under the name Mycoplasma wenyonii. Its description in RNAcentral is "partial 16S ribosomal RNA". It matches the Rfam family "Bacterial small subunit ribosomal RNA", at positions 375 to 609 of the family's 1533-position model. The record is from RNAcentral. Lineage: Bacteria; Bacillati; Mycoplasmatota; Mollicutes; Mycoplasmatales; Mycoplasmataceae.